CGCCUUGCCAGCCCGCUCAGAAACUCAAAGGAAUUGACGGGGGCCCGCACAAGCGGAGGAACAUGUGGUUUAAUUCGAUGAUACGCGAGGAACCUUACCUGGGCUCAAAUGUAUGUUGACGUAUUCUGAAAGGGAUACUUCUUCGGACAAUAUACAAGGUGCUGCAUGGCUGUCGUCAGCUCGUGUCGUGAGAUGUUGGGUUAAGUCCCGUAACGAGCGCAACCCUUGUCCUUAGUUACCAGCACGUUAUGGUGGGCACUCUAAGGAGACUGCCGGUGACAAACCGGAGGAAGGUGGGGAUGACGUCAAGUCCUCAUGGCCUUUAUGACCAGGGCUACACACGUACUACAAUGGCCGAUACAAAGGGCAGCGACACUGCGAGGUGAAGCCAAUCCCGUAAAAUCGGUCUCAGUCCGGAUUGGAGUCUGCAACUCGACUCCAUGAAGUUGGAAUCGCUAGUAAUCGCGCAUCAGCCAUGGCGCGGUGAAUACGUUCCCGGGCCUU
RNAcentral lists this ribosomal RNA (504 nucleotides) under uncultured Desulfobulbus sp. RNAcentral describes it as "bacterial SSU rRNA". It matches the Rfam family "Bacterial small subunit ribosomal RNA", at positions 903 to 1382 of the family's 1533-position model. The record is from RNAcentral. Lineage: Bacteria; Pseudomonadati; Thermodesulfobacteriota; Desulfobulbia; Desulfobulbales; Desulfobulbaceae.